GCAGUAAUUUGACUGUGCAAAGGUAGCAUAAUAAAUAGUUUUUUAAUUGAAAGCUGGAAUGAAUGGUUGGACGAGAAAAAUACUGUCUCUUUAAUACUUUUGUUAGAAUUUUACUUUAAAGUUAAAAGGCUUUAAUGAUUUUUAAAGACGAGAAGACCCUAUAGAGUUUUACAUUACUUUAAUUUAUGUUUAUGGAAAUUUAAAAAUUUAUUAUUUGUUUUGUUUAGUUGGGGUGACUGGAAGAUUUGUUAAACUCUUUUUUAUUUUUACAUUUAUUUAUGAAUUAUUGAUCCAUUGUUUUUUGAUUAAAAGAUUAAAUUACCUUAGGGAUAACAGCGUAAUCUUUUUAAAGAGUUCAAAUCGAAAAAUUGGAUUGCGACCUCGAUGUUGGAUUAAAGUUAAUUUUUGGUGGAGAAGCUAAAAUAUUAGGU
RNAcentral lists this ribosomal RNA (431 nucleotides) under Chalcosphaerium sp. MSL2007. RNAcentral describes it as "partial 16S ribosomal RNA". RNAcentral also lists the same sequence under 1 other name. The record is from RNAcentral. Lineage: Eukaryota; Metazoa; Arthropoda; Insecta; Coleoptera; Byrrhidae.